RNAcentral lists this ribosomal RNA (447 nucleotides) under uncultured bacterium. Its description in RNAcentral is "bacterial SSU rRNA". It matches the Rfam family "Bacterial small subunit ribosomal RNA", at positions 355 to 825 of the family's 1533-position model. The record is from RNAcentral.
UCGGGAAUUUUGGGCAAUGGGCGAAAGCCUGACCCAGCAACGCCGCGUGAAGGAUGAAGUCUCUCGGGAUGUAAACUUCGUAAGAAUAGGAAGAAUAAAUGACGGUACUAUUUGUAAGGUCCGGCUAACUACGUGCCAGCAGCCGCGGUAAUACGUAGGGACCAAGCGUUGUUCGGAUUUACUGGGCGUAAAGGGCGCGUAGGCGGCGUGGUAAGUCACUUGUGAAAUCUCCGAGCUUAACUCGGAACGGUCAAGUGAUACUGCUGUGCUAGAGUACAGAAGGGGCAAUCGGAAUUCUUGGUGUAGCGGUGAAAUGCGUAGAUAUCAAGAGGAACACCUGAGGUGAAGACGGGUUGCUGGGCUGAUACUGACGCUGAGGCGCGAAAGCUAGGGUAGCAAACGGGAUUAGAUACCCCGGUAGUCCCUGAGCGGGCUGGCAAGGCGCAU